RNAcentral lists this ribosomal RNA (771 nucleotides) under uncultured bacterium. RNAcentral's name for it is "bacterial SSU rRNA". It matches the Rfam family "Bacterial small subunit ribosomal RNA", at positions 8 to 796 of the family's 1533-position model. The record is from RNAcentral.
AGAGUUUGAUCAUGGCUCAGGACGAACGCUGGCGGCGUGCUUAACACAUGCAAGUCGAGCGAUGAAGCUUCUUCGGAAGCGGAUUAGCGGCGGACGGGUGAGUAACACGUGGGCAACCUGCCCUAUAGAGGGGAAUAGCCUUCCGAAAGGAAGAUUAAUACCCCAUAAGAUUGUAGUUUCACAUGGAACAGCAAUUAAAGGAGUAAUCCGCUAUGAGAUGGACCCGCGUCGCAUUAGCUAGUUGGUGAGGUAACGGCUCACCAAGGCGACGAUGCGUAGCCGACCUGAGAGGGUGAUCGGCCACAUUGGGACUGAGACACGGCCCAGACUCCUACGGGAGGCAGCAGUGGGGAAUAUUGCACAAUGGGGGGAACCCUGAUGCAGCAACGCCGCGUGAGUGAUGACGGUCUUCGGAUUGUAAAGCUCUGUCUUCAGGGACGAUAAUGACGGUACCUGAGGAGGAAGCCACGGCUAACUACGUGCCAGCAGCCGCGGUAAUACGUAGGUGGCAAGCGUUGUCCGGAUUUACUGGGCGUAAAGGGAGCGUAGGUGGAUAUUUAAGUGGGAUGUGAAAUACUCGGGCUUAACCUGGGUGCUGCAUUCCAAACUGGAUAUCUAGAGUGCAGGAGAGGAAAGUAGAAUUCCUAGUGUAGCGGUGAAAUGCGUAGAGAUUAGGAAGAAUACCAGUGGCGAAGGCGACUUUCUGGACUGUAACUGACACUGAGGCUCGAAAGCGUGGGGAGCAAACAGGAUUAGAUACCCUAGUAGUCC